CAGCAGCAGCCGCGGUAAUACGUAGGGUGCAAGCGUUAAUCGGAAUUACUGGGCGUAAAGCGUGCGCAGGCGGUUUGUUAAGACAGAUGUGAAAUCCCCGGGCUCAACCUGGGAACUGCAUUUGUUACUGGCAAGCUAGAGUGUGGCAGAGGGGGGUGGAAUUCCGCGUGUAGCAGUGAAAUGCGUAGAUAUGCGGAGGAACACCGAUAGCGAAGGCAGCCCCCUGGGCCAACACUGACGCUCAUGCACGAAAGCGUGGGGAGCAAACAGGAUUAGAGACCCCCGUAGUCCCUGUCUCUUAUAC
RNAcentral lists this ribosomal RNA (304 nucleotides) under uncultured bacterium. Its description in RNAcentral is "partial 16S ribosomal RNA". It matches the Rfam family "Bacterial small subunit ribosomal RNA", at positions 506 to 807 of the family's 1533-position model. The record is from RNAcentral.